AUCUUUGUGAGAUGAGCUCGCGUAGGAUUAGGUAGUUGGUGAGGUAAAAGCUACACCAAGCCGAAGAUCCUUAGCUGAUCUGAGAGGUUGAUCAGCCACACUGGGACUGAGACACGGCCCAGACGCUUUCGAGCGGCAGCAGUGAGGAAUCUUGGACAAUGAGCGAAAGCUUGAUCCAGCCAUAUCGCGUGAGUGAAUAAUAGAAAGCUGAAUUGGUUGUAAAACUCUUUUUUCAAGUAUAAGAUUAUGACUGCACUUGGAGAAUAAGUCCCGGCCAACUCCGUGCCAGCAGCCGCGGUAAUACGGGGGGGGCGAGCGUUAUUCAAAAUGACUGGGCGUAAAGAGCACGUAGGCGGUUUUUUUAGAUUAUGUGUAAAAUUCCAUGGCUUAACC
Molecule: ribosomal RNA, 393 nt
Filed under: uncultured organism
Description: partial 16S ribosomal RNA
Rfam family: Bacterial small subunit ribosomal RNA
Source: RNAcentral